UGUCGUCCCCAUUUCUUCGUUGUUUUUUUUGAGAUGGAGUUUCGCUCUUGAGCCCAGGCUGGAGUGCAAUGGCAUGUUCUCGACUCAGUGUAAACUUGGCCUCCCGGGUUCAAGCGAUUCUCCUGCCUCAGCCUCCCGAGUAGCUGGGAUUACAGGCAUGCGCCACCAUGCCUGGCUAAUCUUGUAUUUUUAGUAGAGACAGGGUUUCUCCAUGUUGGUCAGGCUGGUCUCGAACUCCUGACCUCAGGUGAUCUGCCCACUUUGGCCUCUCAAAGUGCUGGGAUUACAGACGUGAGCCACCACACCCGGCCUGUCAUCCCUAUUUUAAAAAUGACAAAAUUGAGGCUCAGAGAGGUGAAGUGAUUUGCCCAAAACCACACAGCUCAUAAGGGAGGGGCUGUCAUUUGAACCCGAGUCCUGACUCCAGAGCUUGAGGGCUUUGCCCCUCUAUGCCCUACUUGGAUCAUGACUCCUGGAAUCCCAGAAAGGACUUCAGAAUUCUAGGGCACUGGGGCUGGUGGCUUCACUGCCUUGGUCUUGCAGGGGAACUCGGGGACCUGAGAAGUAAAGCACCUUGUCCCUGGGCACAGGCAAGGUAGGUGCAGGGGCAUCCUCCACACGCCUGGCCUCCCCAGGGCUGCCCGGCACCUUCGCUUCCCCUGGGUGCUCACCACCCCGCUAUCUCCGGUCUUGUCUUCCCCACCUGCCACUCCAGGAGCAGUGUAGGGAAAACUGGAACUUAUCAAGACAAAGAACAAAAGUCGUGGAGGAAAGAAGCCAAGAGCCAUCUCCACUGUGGGGUAGGGCCCUUCAGUUUCGCCCCUUUGAAAUUUCAAAUUCCAGUUUGUGGACAAAGUCCUAACUAUCUCACAAUAUAGGUCCCCAACCACUGACCAAACUCCAGUCCAGGCAGCCACCCGGCCCGAGGCUGGCCUGGCCUUGCUGCUUCCUUUAGCGGCUUCCAGGGUCCAGGAACAGGGGGUCUGGGCCACCUAGGGGCUUUGUCACAGCCACAGCCACCCCACAGGACCCCUGUCUCCCACCUGAGAGGACAGCCCUCUUCCUGGAGCUGGGAUCUGGCGCUUGCUGAUACCAACAGCGGAUACCAGGUCUUCAAGAUUUUCUCAUCUCAUCUCCCCAGAGGAGCCACGACAUCAUCUCCUUCCAAAACAAAGUCAGAACCUUCACUGUAGACGGACCAGUGUUCUUCCCCCAAACUCAGUCCAGCUUAUCUCCAGAAAAACUAUAUGACUCGCCCUGGAGAAGAGAAAAAAAAGCCUCUCCCCACCAACUUCACCCCACAAAUCACUGGAUUUGAGGCUGGAGACAGAAGAAUUGAACGUGUGCUUAAGUUUCAAAUUGACUAUUGUUUUAUGUGAAUGUCUGAUAAAGAAAAUACAAUGGCUGCCAGCUGGGGGCUGGGAGUGAGAUUUCCCAUGCGGAGAAUUCUAAAAGACGUGCCUGGAGUUCUGGAGUCUGGAUCCUCUGGACAGACAGGUGGAGACACCAAAGGUAAUUGUGGGGUGGGGAGAAGACAUCAACCCAAGAGAUUUGACUGCGUUUGGUCUAUGCAAGAAUGGAAAAUGGAGGCAGAAUGAGUUAGCAGCAAGCUUGUAUGCUGCUGUAGAAUCCAAGGGGCUUGGCCAGUGCCGGCCAAUCAAAGUAGAACGUGAGCCACAGACAAUUUACGCCGUUCUUGUAGUUGCUUAAAAACAUGGUAAAUCUAUGAAACAGAAAGAUUGUUCAUGCAGGUAAAUGAACUUCUCUUUGGUCUCAGUGAUCAGGGAUCCCAAAUUCAAUCGCCCUCAAUACCCAAAGAAGUAACUGAAAUAAGUGGAACAGAUAGGGUGUGAGCAAAGUUCACACAUUCCCAUAAGAAAAGCUAUGCAGCAAACAUAUUGAUGUAUGUUCAUUAAUAAGUUUCAGUGUGGGGACACUAAGGCAUAGUGGAGACUAUGGCAAAUCAGAGGAAGCUGCGUAUCUAAAGUAGCUCCCGGAGAUUGCUGCUUCAUGGGGUAUCAGUGUUGCUAGAGCUUUCACUUUUUUGAAAGGAGGUGAAAGUUGGAAUUUUUUUUUUUUUUUUUGACGGGGUUUUGCUCUGUCAUCCAGGCUGGAGUACAGUGGCAUGAUCUUGGCUCAUUGCAACCUCCACCUCCUGGGUUCAAGAGAUUCUUCUGCCUCAGCCUCCUGAGUAGCUGGGACUACAGGCAGGUGCUGCCAUGCCUGGCUAAUUUUUGCAUUUUUAGUAAAGAUGGGAUUUCACCAUGUUGGCAAAGCUGGUCUCGAACUCCUGAUCUCAUGAUCCACCUGCCUCAGCCUCCCAAAGUGCUGGGAUUACAGGCAUGAGCCACAGUGCCUGACCCCUAGUUUUUUUAAAAUUUAAUCUUUAAAAUGAGAUUGCACCACUGCAAACCAGGCUGGGCGACCGACGGAGACUCCAUCUCAAAAACAAAAACACAAAAACACAAAAACACCUAGGCGGAAUGGAUCUUCACCUCUGGUCUCCUUUAAACCCUUGACCAUGUUUAAAAGAGGAGGAAACUGAGGUUCGGAGUGGUUAAAUACAUUCCCAUCUCAAAGAAGAUCAAGAACUGUCUCUUUAGGUUUCUAUUCCAGGUCAUUUCUGCUAUGAAAUAAAACAAACAUGGAGUUUU
Molecule: long non-coding RNA, 2654 nt
Organism: Callithrix jacchus (white-tufted-ear marmoset)
Lineage: Eukaryota; Metazoa; Chordata; Mammalia; Primates; Cebidae
Source: RefSeq, a predicted model, not a curated record